GAUCCAAACCCAAAGUUAAGCAUUCGAAUUUUAUCCAAAUACGGCCCAACUCUAGUCAACAUGUUGACUACCCAACCCAAUCGGAUUGGGUCAGGUCGGGUACCCAUAGAUUUAGAUUUUGUUGCCAUCCCUAAUCCUAGUUUAGCAAUUCUGGUCAAUCCUCUCUAUUGGGAUAAUUCAGCCGACUCUCUGAUUCCAACUCUUAAUCGACCUUAUAAGCAUAAAUUGUCGACUA
This 235-nucleotide long non-coding RNA is filed under the name Elaeis guineensis (African oil palm). RNAcentral's name for it is "long non-coding RNA (EGUI_LNC030749)". The record is from RNAcentral. Lineage: Eukaryota; Viridiplantae; Streptophyta; Magnoliopsida; Arecales; Arecaceae.